Molecule: long non-coding RNA, 3591 nt
Filed under: Salmo salar (Atlantic salmon)
Lineage: Eukaryota; Metazoa; Chordata; Actinopteri; Salmoniformes; Salmonidae
Description: lncRNA (ENSSSAG00000117228.1)
Source: RNAcentral
CAUGUAGAACCCUCUGUAGAAAGGGUUCUACAUGGAACCCAAAACGGUUAUGCCUGGAACCAAAAAGGGUCAUUGAAAGGGUUCUCCUAUGGGGACAGCCGAAGAACCCUUAAAGGUUCUAGAGUUUUCCACAACUACAUGCUUCUUGCAGUUGUCAUCACCAUCUUGUUGAAUGUGUUCCUGUGCGCAGAUCAAGUUGAAUAUACCCAUAGCCUCAUGGUUUUGUUUGUUGACCAAUGCAGCAAACUUUAUGGAAAAGAACAAGUGUCAUAGAACAUGUAUGGAUUGGUGCACCUUCGCCAAAAAUCCAAGAAGUAUGGUGCCCUUGACAAAAUCUCUUGUUUCCCAUUUGAAAACUUCCUUGGGCAAAUGAAGAGACUGCUUCGCAAACCUGCACACCCACUGGAGCAGGUUGUUCGUCGACUGUCAGAGAAGAAACUAUACAGAAGAAUGAACACCUCCUAAGCACUGUCCCUGAGAGAGCACAACAGCAGUGACAAAUCAGUUCGAGAAGUUUUACUUCUGAGAAUUUUCUGUGAAAAGGUCAGAGGGGACAACUGUGUCCUGUUACAAAACCAGGAUAUUGCUGUUGUACAGAAUGUGGUCGUCGAUGAAAUGGGCAACAAUUUUGGCAUCUACAAUAGGUUCAGGAACAUGGUCGAUUUCUUCACCUACCCUUUACCAUUUUCCAAGACAGGCAUUUUUCACCUCUCUGGAUUAUCAGAUCAUUUCUGCCUCACCAACUCUACAAAUGUGCUGAAGAAAUACUAUCUUCUUCCUUGCCAAGAUGGAUAUGCUGGCUUUCCAUUGAGCCACUUGUAGACAUGGCCUAGCCCUGUUUGUUUCUGUUCGCCUCUCACAAGGUAAAUAUCUUAGGGUUUCAUUGUAUGAUUGUAGUGUAAAUUAUUAUUUAGUCAAUUGUAAGUGGUCUUUAUGCUUAGUUCUUCCUCUUUCUCUCCUGUCUUUAGAUCAUAAAGUUUGUAGUGAUUCAGUUUCUGGAUGAAAAGAACAAACCAUAUGCAGUAGUUCCACAAGUAGGGAUCAAAGAUAACAUCUGUUAUUGGCCACCACUCAGCCACAGAAAAAAGAACAAAUUAAACAAUUUAGCCAUCGAGUGUACGCCACCAGACAGCACCUGGGAAAGAAGCUGCUUUAAGUUCAUGAAGGGAGCAGACAAUUGGGAGACGGCACAGAUGUAACAUGAAAACAUUGAGGUGCCAGUGGACGUUAGAGUAGCUGAGUUAAAAGCUUUUCUUCCAGUCGCACCACCAGUCCCAACAUUGCGGUGCCAGCGGACUGACUACACUUUAAGGUGCCAAGAUUCCAAAUACAAGAAAAGCAUCAUAUUCCCUAGCAUCGUAUUCACCACAGCAGCAUGUGGAGGACAGCCAUGGAGGACCUAUAAUGAGACAUUUCAACGGGCCAAAUUAUGGUCGUAGAUAUGAAGGUCAGAACAUACCGACUUCAAAUAUGAACAGUCAUGGAGGUACUGUAUGUGGUACAUCCAUUUAGCCCAGGGUAGAAAUCCGGCAGAAAAACAAAUCACUGAAGGAAGACAGGGCAGAAAUGCAAAGACUCCAGCAGGAAAACAGAACCCUGAGGGAAGAAGUUAAGGUGCUAAGGAGUGGGCAAGCAGAUGUCCACUAUCAUCCCCGUGCCCAAGAAAGGGAAAGUAACUGAACUGAAUGACUACAGACUUCCGUCAUCAUGAAGUGCUUCGAGAGGCUAGUCAAAAACCAUAUCAGCUCCUCCCUUCCCAACCCUCUCCAACUCACCUACCGCCCUGACAGAUAAACGGACAACUCAAUCGCCAUUGCACUGCACUCCCACACCUGGACAAAAGGAAUGCAUAUGUUCAUUGACUACAGCUCGGCCUUCAAUAGCAUAGUGCCCUAUAAGCUCAUUACAAAGCUCACGGCCCUGGGUCUAAACUCCUCCCUAUGCAACUGGGUCCUGGAUUUCCUUGACGGGGCUCCUCCAAGUGCUGAAGGUAGGCAACAUUACCUCCUUGACACUGAUUCUCAACAUGGGUGCCCCAAAGGGUGCAUCUUCAGUCCCCUCCUGUAUUCCCUGUAUACCCACGACUGCGUUGUCUCACACAGUUCCAACUCCAUCACAAAGUUUGCUGAUGAUACGAUAGUAGUAGGGCGGAUUACCAACAACGAUGAGACCGCUUACAGGGCGGAGGUAGGCACUCUGAUGAUGUGGUGCCAGGUAAACAACCUCUCCCUCAAUGUUAGCAAAACAAAGGAGCUGAUUGUGGACUUCAGGAGGAACCAGGCUGGAUACACCCCCAUCCUCAUCAACGGGUCCACUGUGGAGACGGUCAAUAACUUCAAAUUCCUCAGCGUACACAUCUCAGAAAAGCUGAAAUUGUCUAACUACAUGGACACCAUAGUGAAGAAGGCACGACAGCAACUCUUCAACCUUAGGACGCAGAAGAAAUUUGGCCUGUCCCGAGGGCCCUCACAGUGUUCUACAGGAGCAACACGAGAGCAUACUGUCGGGCUGCAUCACAGCCAGGUACGGCAACUCCAUUGCCGCAGAUCGUAAGGCUCUUCAGAGGGUGAUAAAUGCAGGCGAAUGCACCAUUGGGUGCACACUGCCUGACCUUCAGGACACCUACAACACCAGGUGUCGCAAGAAGGCCAAGAAGUUCAUCAGGGACCCCAGCCACCCAAACCAUGCCCUGAUCUCCCCGCUUCAAUCACUCAGACGAAUGCGGGCUGUACAGGAACUGCAGGCGGGCAGUACAGGAACCCCCAACAGUCUUUACUCUGCCUCCACGACAAUGGACAAUUAUUUAUUCAUCACUGUCACAGUUGUUAUCAUGUAUAUAGUCCUAUUUCUAUUGUUGUUUUUUAUUACCAUUUUCUUGAUUUUAUUUCACUUAGUCCUGCAUGUUGGAGAUCGAAGCCUAAGAUUUUCACUGUACCUGUCACGACUUCUGCCGAAGUCGAUGCCUCUCCUUGUUCGGGCGGUGUUCGGCGGUUGACGUCGCCGGUCUUCUAGCCAUCGCCGAUCCAUUUCCAUUUGUUUUGUCUUGUUUCCCACACACCUGGUUCUCAUUUCCCUCAUUAUGUGUUGUGUAUUUAACCCUCUGUUCCCCCCAUGUCUUUGUGUGGUAUUGUUUAUUGUAAGUGCUUGUGCACAUUUGUUUGACUGGUGCGCGUCGGGUUAUUGUGCCCAUAUUUGUAUUUUAAACUGCUCCGGCUAUUACCAAGUUCUGCUCUCCUGCGUCUGACUUUCCUGCUACCAGUUACGCACCGCUUACAGUACCCUGCAAUCACACCUGCAACCCUGUGACUAUUAAACACUCUGAAUCUCCCAUAAUUAGUCCUUUCCCAUAAGACACUAAAACAUCUGGAAAAGUCUUAACGGGAAAAAGUAAUGACCCCUAAAUCCAUCUGUAAAUCCAUACUGACCAGUGCCUUUUAAUAAAAAAAACAUUUCCAUUUUAAACAUCUACCACAAAUUUCCUGUCUCAGGUGAUUAAGAGUAAAAACAGGCCAGGGGAUUUCCGAGGUUACUGGCCCAGGCCAAACUCAAGCAAAGGCCACACGAGCACCGCAAAGUACAUUGCCACACUGG